This 212-nucleotide ribosomal RNA is filed under the name Siganus sutor (shoemaker spinefoot). RNAcentral's name for it is "partial 16S ribosomal RNA". Lineage: Eukaryota; Metazoa; Chordata; Actinopteri; Siganidae. The record is from RNAcentral.
GCCCAUCAGCUAGCCCAAUACCCAAAACCAACAAACCCCCAUUUAUACCCCCAAACACACUAAUUUCCCCUAAAACAAACCAUUUUUCCCCCUUAGUAUAGGCGAUAGAAAAGGACCUGUGGAGCGAUAGAGAAAGUACCGCAAGGGAAAGCUGAAAGAGAAAUGAAAUAACCCAGUAAAGCACAAAAAAGCAGAGAUAUCCCCUCGUAUUU